GCGUCUGUAGCCUAGUUGGUAAAGGCAGCACUCUAGUACUGAGUUCAUGGGUUUGACUCCCAUCAGACACA
Molecule: transfer RNA, 71 nt
Filed under: Uromyces viciae-fabae
Lineage: Eukaryota; Fungi; Basidiomycota; Pucciniomycetes; Pucciniales; Pucciniaceae
Description: tRNA-Thr (AGT) (tRNA-Thr-AGT-23-1)
Rfam family: tRNA
About the family: Transfer RNA (tRNA) molecules are approximately 80 nucleotides in length.
Source: RNAcentral